This 73-nucleotide transfer RNA is filed under the name Ornithorhynchus anatinus (platypus). It matches the Rfam family "tRNA". From Rfam's summary of the family: Transfer RNA (tRNA) molecules are approximately 80 nucleotides in length. Their secondary structure includes four short double-helical elements and three loops (D, anti-codon, and T loops). The record is from Rfam by way of RNAcentral. Lineage: Eukaryota; Metazoa; Chordata; Mammalia; Monotremata; Ornithorhynchidae.
AGCAGUGUGGCUUAGUGGAUAGAGCAUGGGCCUGGGAGUCAGAAGGACCUGGAUUCUAAUUCCGGCUCUGCCU